This 465-nucleotide ribosomal RNA is filed under the name uncultured bacterium. RNAcentral describes it as "partial 16S ribosomal RNA". It matches the Rfam family "Bacterial small subunit ribosomal RNA", at positions 28 to 507 of the family's 1533-position model. The record is from RNAcentral.
GACAAACGCUGGCGGCGUGCUUAACACAUGCAAGUCGUACGGUAAGGCCCUUUCGGGGGUACACGAGUGGCGAACGGGUGAGUAACACGUGAGUAACCUGCCCACAACUUUGGGAUAACGCUAGGAAACUGGUGCUAAUACUGGAUAUGUGCUCCUGCUGCAUGGUGGGGGUUGGAAAGCUCCGGCGGUUGUGGAUGGACUCGCGGCCUAUCAGCUUGUUGGUGGGGUAGUGGCCUACCAAGGCGGCGACGGGUAGCCGGCCGGAGAGGGUGACCGGCCACAUUGGGACUGAGAUACGGCCCAGACUCCUACGGGAGGCAGCAGUGGGGAAUAUUGCACAAUGGGCGCAAGCCUGAUGCAGCAACGCCGCGUGCGGGAUGACGGCCUUCGGGUUGUAAACCGCUUUCAGCAGGGACGAAGCUUUUUGUGACGGUACCUGCAGAAGAAGCACCGGCUAACUACGUG